Cyprinus carpio (common carp) is the source of this 390-nucleotide non-coding RNA. The record is from the annotation of a RefSeq genome assembly. Lineage: Eukaryota; Metazoa; Chordata; Actinopteri; Cypriniformes; Cyprinidae.
AUGCUUGCAGUGCUCCGAGAGUGUUCAAUGCGUGCUCCGGGACCUCACAGCGCGUUUGCUCAAGAGUGUAGAGGACAGAUCAGCGUCACUCAGAGUCCCCCAACGACAGCAGCUCAACCAGGAGAAACAGUGAAGAUCAACUGUAGAACCAGCACAGAUGUGUACAGUUAUUCUGGGACAUUCUAUUUCAGCUGGUACUUACAGAAACCUGGAGAAGCUCCUAAACUCCUGAUUUAUGCAACAAGCAGUCGCCAGUCAGGAACUCCAUCUAGAUUCAGUGGCAGUGGAUCUAACAGUGAUUUCACUCUGACCAUCAGUGGAGUCCAGACUGAAGAUGCUGGACAUUAUUACUGUCAGAGUGCACACUGGGGUCCAACGUUCACACAGUGA